Molecule: unclassified non-coding RNA, 222 nt
Filed under: fungal sp.
Lineage: Eukaryota; Fungi
Also listed under: 2 other names
Description: partial contains small subunit ribosomal RNA, internal transcribed spacer 1, and 5.8S ribosomal RNA
Rfam family: Eukaryotic small subunit ribosomal RNA (bases 1-46)
Source: RNAcentral
AAGUCGUAACAAGGUUUCCGUAGGUGAACCUGCGGAAGGAUCAUUACAGAGUUCAUGCCCGAAAGGGUAGACCUCCCACCCUUGUGUAUUAUUACUUUGUUGCUUUGGCGAGCUGCCUUCGGGCCUUGUAUGCUCGCCAGAGAAUACCAAAACUCUUUUUAUUAAUGUCGUCUGAGUACUAUAUAAUAGUUAAAACUUUCAACAACGGAUCUCUUGGUUCUG